This 460-nucleotide ribosomal RNA is filed under the name uncultured bacterium. RNAcentral's name for it is "partial 16S ribosomal RNA". It matches the Rfam family "Bacterial small subunit ribosomal RNA", at positions 338 to 795 of the family's 1533-position model. The record is from RNAcentral.
CCUACGGGUGGCAGCAGUGAGGAAUAUUGGUCAAUGGACGAGAGUCUGAACCAGCCAAGUAGCGUGAAGGAUGACUGCCCUAUGGGUUGUAAACUUCUUUUAUAUGGGAAUAAAACGUUCCACGUGUGGGAUUUUGUAUGUACCAUAUGAAUAAGGAUCGGCUAACUCCGUGCCAGCAGCCGCGGUAAUACGGAGGAUCCGAGCGUUAUCCGGAUUUAUUGGGUUUAAAGGGAGCGUCGGUGGAUUGUUAAGUCAGUUGUGAAAGUUUGCGGCUCAACCGUAAAAUUGCAGUUGAAACUGGCAGUCUUGAGUACAGUAGAGGUGGGCGGAAUUCGUGGUGUAGCGGUGAAAUGCUUAGAUAUCACGAAGAACUCCGAUUGCGAAGGCAGUUCACUGGACUGCAACUGACACUGAGGCUCGAAAGUGUGGGUAUCAAACAGGAUUAGAUACCCCAGUAGUC